GUUGCCGCGAGGCGGGGUCUGAAGGAAGCUGUAGGCAAAAUGCCGGCCUGACGAACAGGAAGCGCAUAUGCGGCGUCCGCAUCCGGGCGAGGGGGCAAACACACCCGAAGCCCGAUAUCACCCGGAGGGUGCGGGCGUAGAUGCGACAGGUAUUUGGCACGAAGGUCACGCGUC
Molecule: non-coding RNA, 174 nt
Organism: Rhizobium yanglingense
Lineage: Bacteria; Pseudomonadati; Pseudomonadota; Alphaproteobacteria; Hyphomicrobiales; Rhizobiaceae
Source: Rfam